Long non-coding RNA from Mus musculus (house mouse), 1027 nucleotides. RefSeq annotates it as predicted gene, 54196. NCBI's taxonomy places the organism in Eukaryota, Metazoa, Chordata, Mammalia, Rodentia, Muridae. The record is from RefSeq and is a predicted model, not a curated record. The transcript has 2 exons.
CCAAGGGAUGGGAUUAAAGGCAUGCACUACCACUGUUCAACUUAUUUAUGUAUUACUUAUGGCUACUUUCCCCUACCACAGGAGAAGUCAGAAUGUAUACCAAGACAACCAGGCCCUCAAGCUUAAGAUAUGUUCUCUGUAACAGGAAGAGCUUGCUGACCCCUGGGUUAGAAUCCUCCUGCCAUUGUUCUGAAGCGCCCAGUGAGGCUGUGAGGGCUGCUACUACGAUUUCACUGCCAGGAAAGGAACGCAAGGCACCUGCUCUCCAGAUCCCGUCCGCCCGGAUGAUGUCCCCAUCGCUGCGUGCUCACCUGUGCGGCAUCCCGGUGGUGUGUGCCGUGGUGUGCUCGCUGGACAGCUCGCAGAGCUUUAGGUACCAGUUCAUCUCCACCUCCCGCAGCAGGGCCAGCUGCCUUGCCCUGAGCUGGCUUUGCCCGGUUGGGCUGAGGCUGCUGUCUUUGGCAUUCUCGGGGGCUUUCUUGGGAGAUCUGUCUUUCCCCCCUGAAGAAAGGCCAGACUGCUUUCUGAACUUGCUGUUGUCUUCGGAGAUCUGACUCCCUGCAGCGCCUGUGCGGGCUGCCAGCAUCCUGGAAGUUCCUAUCUGCCUGUCUGGGAAGAGGCUAAGCGACUGUCAUUAAAGUAAUUUGAAUUGAUUUCUGUUUCUGUCUCCCUCCGCUGCCCUGUCUUCCCGCCCCCCACCUUAACCUUAUCCUGCCACGGACCUGUAACUGAGCCUGCUGCACUUGGGAUGAAAGGCUAUCUACCUCUAAAGUUUCCUGGGGCGGAGAGGAAAUGCGGCCGCUACCUGUCACUUCUUGGAAUAUGGAAAUUCAAGAGCAAGUCUCCAAAACUUUAUUAUUCUGAAGUUUAUGAAUUAUAUCUGCUUUAAAGUUAGGAAUAUGACUUCUAACUUUUACCUUAGACAAUAAGAUUUAGGUAAAUUAUAUUCCAUUGCUACAUUAGAGUUGCAUUUUGUUUUGCUUUGCUCUUUUUUUUUUUUAAAUAAAAGCCCUCUUAAGACUCACCA